AAUAAGUGCAGCUAUGAGUUUCCGCGCCCAACUUUGAUCGUCCGUUUUAUUUGAAAUUUUUUUAUAAUUAGCAGUUUUGUUGUUAUAAGAUGAUAAAACAUGAAUAAUACUUUACUCAUGACUUAUGUUUUUAAUUUCUUUCAAAAAAAAUUUCAAAUAAGACGAACGGUCAAAGUUAGAUGCUGAAAACCAUGAUUGUACUUAUU
MicroRNA precursor from Oryza sativa Japonica Group (Japanese rice), 206 nucleotides. It matches the Rfam family "MIR812 microRNA precursor family". The record is from Rfam. NCBI's taxonomy places the organism in Eukaryota, Viridiplantae, Streptophyta, Magnoliopsida, Poales, Poaceae.